Molecule: transfer RNA, 67 nt
Filed under: Ochthebius griotes
Lineage: Eukaryota; Metazoa; Arthropoda; Insecta; Coleoptera; Hydraenidae
Description: tRNA-Ser
Source: RNAcentral
AGUUAAUGAGCUUGAAUAAGUAUAUAUUUUGAAAAUAUAAGAUAAGAAUAUUAUUUCUUAUUAACUU